GAUGAACGCUGGCGGCGUGCCUAAUACAUGCAAGUCGAGCGAACGGACGAGAAGCUUGCUUUUCUGAUGUUAGCGGCGGACGGGUGAGUAACACGUGGAUAACCUACCUAUAAGACUGGGAUAACUUCGGGAAACCGGAGCUAAUACCGGAUAAUAUUUUGAACCGCAUGGUUCAAAAGUGAAAGACGGUCUUGCUGUCGCUUAUAGAUGGAUCCGCGCUGCAUUAGCUAGUUGGUAAGGUAACGGCUUACCAAGGCAACGAUGCAUAACCGACCUGAGAGGGUGAUCGGCCACACUGGAACUGAGACACGGUCCAGACUCCUACGGGAGGCAGCAGUAGGGAAUCUUCCGCAAUGGGCGAAAGCCUGACGGAGCAACGCCGCGUGAGUGAUGAAGGUCUUCGGAUCGUAAAACUCUGUUAUUAGGGAAGAACAUAUGUGUAAGUAACUGUGCACAUCUUGACGGUACCUAAUCAGAAAGCCACGGCUAACUACGUG
Molecule: ribosomal RNA, 497 nt
Filed under: uncultured bacterium
Lineage: Bacteria
Description: partial 16S ribosomal RNA
Rfam family: Bacterial small subunit ribosomal RNA
Source: RNAcentral